AAAAAAAAAAAAAGUAAGUGAAACUUAUUUUUGGUCGUGAUUUUUUUGCAUUAAAUGAGCUGUACGUCAACAGAAAAAGUUAUCUUACCCAACUACACCAUGUUUGUCAAACACCCUUUAAUUUUUUAGAAUAUAAUUUUAUACUUUAAAGUUUAAACAUCAUGGAUACAUGUUUUUAUAAUUUUCAAAAUAUAAUUUUAUAUUUUAAAGUUCAAACAUGGAUUCAUGUUUUUAGCAAUGUGACGUAGGGUAUUUAAAAAAAAAAAAUUAAUUAAAAUACUAUUUUUUUUUUAAAUUUUAACAUGAAUACCGAAAGUAAUUUAAAAAACAGAACCAAGAUAAAUGGGACGCCGCCUGCUUCUGUGCACCAAUCAGUCCUCUACUGAUGAGAGCAUAUAUAUCAAUUACUACCAAAUCGAGUUCAAAUCUUUUUUAUCCUACUUUGUCAAAUAAACCGGUGUUUCUGUCUUGUCUUCCACUGUUGGGUUCCUUUUCCAUCUCUAAUAAGCUCAUCGGUCACACUUAUUAAUUAAUUAGGUGUGGGGAGGGGGAAAAACACCCCUCAAAGGGGUGACCAGCUUUUUCAUAGACUGACUUUCGUGGUGCACAAAGACUUUAGGGCACGGAAAGAGACACGUCCAAAUAUACAGUGGAUACAUGAAUAUUUUGUAUUGUACAUAAGAGCGGUCACGAGGAUAACUCUUACACACUUAGAUCUGAGAGAAUAUCUACUUACUUACGAAACAAAACAUAUAAAACAACGAAACUGAUGUCUGCAACAGCAUGUUUCUGCACACACAUACGCUAACAACAAUCAAAAUCGAUGGCCUUAACGUCCAUAGUAUAAGAAAGAUAGGGUAUUUUUAUUUUUACCGAGAAAGAAAGACAAGGCAUUUUUACAUGCGAUUCAAGUACUCUUCACUCUUGACAGCUCUUACCUCCUCAGAGAUCUCUUAGCUCAAACAUGAUUCUUCCUCCAAGAGUUUACAUGUAAGAAAAUGUGAACCUCGCAUGGUAAAUAAGGCUCCUUCGAUCGCUUGCAUGACCUUUCAGAGGUUGUUGAUUUGUCUUUAAUUGGGUGAUUUUGAAGGAAUACGUAGUCUAAUUCAAAUAGCUCAGGAGGGAUAGAUAAGAAAAGAGAAGAUAAGUUGGAUGAAAAUGGGAAAAGAUUUUGUCAAAAAUCUAUAUCAUAAAGUUUUGAUAUAGAGUAAAUGACAAUUAAAAAAACAAAAAUGAAGAACGAAGAACAGGGUCUUACAAGGUCAAGAAAAGGUCUUACAAGGUCAAGAAGAAAAAAGAAAAAAUAAAUGAAGAAGAUAUAGCAAAGAAAAAGCUCAGGUAGGAUAGCACCCAAUUAACAUGAAAAGCCAUCUUUUCAGCUACCAGUUGAAAGCCAGCAAAGAAUCCAUCUGCAAAGUUCUUUUCCUGGCUUGUAGCGUAGCACGUGCUAGCUUUGUUCAUUCUCUCGAACAGGUUCCCUGUAUCGAGAAUCAUAUCAAAUACAAGAAACUUAAGGAAUAUAUCAGUUUUUGCACAUAAAAUCAAGACAGUGAACAAAUGAUAAGGUCACAUGCUCCUCCUCUAACUACAUACAUAAAAUUACAAAUUUAAGAGCAUAAAGUAUCUGAUCUUUCUAUCAAUUAUUAGGAAUACUACUGAGACAAGUUGAACAGGACAAGAUUUUAUACAAAUACUAUAUAUAUAGAUAGUGUUGACUUCGAAUAACACCAAAAACUAUGAGCUCUUGACAUUCCAUAUAUAUUUCUUACGACUCCAUAAAGGUUUCCAUACCUUGCAGAAACUUGUGCCUUUCUUUCACCUUUGAAAGCCCCUUUUCUCUUUCCCCCAUGUUGGGGGAGAGAGAGACACAGAGAGAGAGAGAGAGGGCAACGGAGAGUGUAGUGGUAGUUGCAAUAUUACAACGAAAAAUGAGGAGUGGCAACAGGUAUAUAUGAAGGGGACGAGGCCAGUUG
Molecule: long non-coding RNA, 1973 nt
Filed under: Populus trichocarpa (black cottonwood)
Lineage: Eukaryota; Viridiplantae; Streptophyta; Magnoliopsida; Malpighiales; Salicaceae
Description: long non-coding RNA (PTRI_LNC002137)
Source: RNAcentral